Molecule: small nucleolar RNA, 160 nt
Organism: Ochotona princeps (American pika)
Lineage: Eukaryota; Metazoa; Chordata; Mammalia; Lagomorpha; Ochotonidae
Product: small nucleolar RNA SNORA15
Exons: 1
Source: RefSeq, a predicted model, not a curated record
GCAUGACUGAAUACUGUGUUCUUUUUUUUUUUUUUAUGUGUUUUUUUUGUGUUCUUUCAUCAAUUUACACAGCCAGACACUAUGCAAAAGUAAGGUAUUCCCUUGAAAAUUAUUUUGGUAUGCUGAUUUUUCCUUAGCAUGUAAUUGGCAUAACUCACAA